This 492-nucleotide ribosomal RNA is filed under the name uncultured bacterium. Its description in RNAcentral is "partial 16S ribosomal RNA". It matches the Rfam family "Bacterial small subunit ribosomal RNA", at positions 28 to 507 of the family's 1533-position model. The record is from RNAcentral.
GAUGAACGCUAGCUACAGGCUUAACACAUGCAAGUCGAGGGGAAACGACAUCGAAAGCUUGCUUUUGAUGGGCGUCGACCGGCGCACGGGUGAGUAACGCGUAUCCAACCUGCCCAUCACUUGGGGAUAACCUUGCGAAAGUAAGACUAAUACCCAAUGAUAUCUCUAGAAGACAUCUGAAAGAGAUUAAAGAUUUAUCGGUGAUGGAUGGGGAUGCGUCUGAUUAGCUUGUUGGCGGGGUAACGGCCCACCAAGGCAACGAUCAGUAGGGGUUCUGAGAGGAAGGUCCCCCACAUUGGAACUGAGACACGGUCCAAACUCCUACGGGAGGAAGCAGUGAGGAAUAUUGGUCAAUGGGCGAGAGCCUGAACCAGCCAAGUAGCGUGCAGGAAGACGGCCCUAUGGGUUGUAAACUGCUUUUAUAAGGGAAUAAAGUGAGAGUCGUGACUCUUUUUGUAUGUACCUUAUGAAUAAGGACCGGCUAAGUCCGUG